GGAUAGAGCCAGCGAAGUUGCUCGUAUUCAGCCAAAGGCCUGUGGCAUCGGUGUGUCGGGUUGCUAAUCACGCCUGGCCGGCCUUUUGUCCACCGGUUGAGGUGCAUUUGCGGGCAUUUGCGCUGAGACUUGCGAGACAGCUUCUGGACCCGGGCCUAGAGGCCGUCCUUUGGGCGGAACCUUGGCACGGCGACGGUUGUUUGGUCUGCUCGUACCACGGCUUGGCCUACGGACCUGGGCGCUGGUGUCGUCUGCUUGUGGUGGCAUCGCAUGCGAUGACCCACCUGUGGGCGGCUCGGUCGUUUGGCGUUCCCAAGUCGGCUCUCGGUGUAAAAGCUGGUCACCUAUCCGACCCGUCUUGAAACACGGACCAAGGAGUUUAGCGUAUGCGCGAGCCAUUGGGUGUCAAAACUCACAGGCACAAUGAAAGUGAAGGCCCAGUCGCUGGGCUGACAUGCGAGUUGGGGGCUCACGGGCCGCCGAUGCAGCAUGGUCCCGUUCCGGUCGCUUGCGAUGGAGCGGAGACAGAGCGUAUGCGCUGAG
Molecule: ribosomal RNA, 543 nt
Filed under: Paratylenchus similis
Lineage: Eukaryota; Metazoa; Nematoda; Chromadorea; Rhabditida; Tylenchulidae
Description: partial large subunit ribosomal RNA
Rfam family: Eukaryotic large subunit ribosomal RNA
Source: RNAcentral